RNAcentral lists this microRNA precursor (54 nucleotides) under Sorex araneus (European shrew). RNAcentral's name for it is "miRNA (ENSSARG00000016342.1)". The record is from RNAcentral. Lineage: Eukaryota; Metazoa; Chordata; Mammalia; Eulipotyphla; Soricidae.
CCGGAGCGGGCCAAUGGGGAGCGCGGGGCGGGACUUCCGCCCGGCCGGGUGUUG